Molecule: long non-coding RNA, 2822 nt
Filed under: Mus musculus (house mouse)
Lineage: Eukaryota; Metazoa; Chordata; Mammalia; Rodentia; Muridae
Description: long non-coding RNA chr5:65616949-65619771
Source: RNAcentral
ACUUUCAUUUUCCCAGAAAAACAUCUCCAGAAUGGGUGGGGCUUUCUUGAAGUUUCUCUUCAAGGAUGGGCAAUCCAAGGCCUUCCCUAUAGCAGUCCACAGAAACCGCACCCAACAACUCACAGUGGCUCAGAAAAGGACUAGACAUUAAGUAACUGGAAGAAACAGGGAGAUUCCUGGGGAAAACAAACUCUGUCAGUCACACAGUCAAUGUUUUUAUUAACUGGGGAUUUAGAGCCCUAGACCUGGGUAGGUCCUCUAUGGCUGAGCUAAGCCCAAACCCAAGCAAUAUGGUGACUGGUGUGUAACCUCAACUCUUGGGAGGCUGGGGCACAAAGAUUUCAGGUUUGAAGUCAAUCUUGGCUAUAAGGCAGAUAGACCCAUAAGGCCACAUUCACUUAUGCAAAUUAGGUGCACAUGCAUGUGUAAGGAAACCAAGUAAAUAGAAAGAUAAAUGUGGGAGACAGUUCUGACAAUGUCUCUCACCUGAAUCCAUGUGGUGUGAGUUCUUUGAGCAUUCAUUUUUAUGUUACUAUGUGACACACAGAGCAAAUACAAUGAUUUUUUAUAAAUAUGCACAGCUAAGUUGGAUGUAGUGGCAUGUACCUAUACCCUUAGCAUUUGAGAGAUUGAGGCAUGACGAUGGCCAUGAACUCAAGGACUUGAAAUAGUAAAGACCUGGGCAGUUGUGACUAUGGAUUAAGACUGUCUCAAAAAAAAUCCUUCACCAAGACAAGUAAUAACAAGGCCCCAUGAAUGUACUACAUCUGACUACUGUAAGUAUAUGUGACCCAAUGUCUAUAGCAGUGUAUGUAGCUUCAGUUUCUUUAUGCCCAGCCUACUUAACUCUAUAUAGGGAUCCCAUAGUAAGCAGACUUAUUUCUUUCUGUACUGCAAGAAUUAUGGCAGUGAGAUAGUCCUGAUUUUUGUCUAGUAAUAUGUUAUUUCAAGCCAUUCCUACUUGUAGUAGGAGAUGAGCUACCUCUCAUUAAACAAGUUAAUGGAAAGUUAAUGAAGGCAGGUAAUCUAAAUCAAUUCAAGUCGAGUGGCAGAGCACAUACUAAAACAAGAUCUGACGCAUCUCCUAUCGUUUAGCUUUCCUGCUUUCUUCCCUGUUAAAAACACUAGUAAGGAAUGGGAGUGGGGCUCCAUGAGCUAGUUUAGGGCUUAGAGUACUUGUUACUCUUGAUAACCCUGUGAAAUGCCAGUUCCAGAAGAUCUGAUACCCUGCUCUGACCACUGUGGGCACUUGUCACACAUGUGGUUCACUGGCAUAUGCAGCAAAACAAUCACACACAUAAAACAAGAUUAAAUCUUUUAAAAAAGGAAGAAAGAAGAUGAGGAGGUGGGGACUAAUGCUUCUGAAGAGGACCUAGGUUCAUUCCUAGCACCAACAUGGCAGCUCACAACCACAAAUGCAAACCCCAAGUGCCCAAAUUCUUCUCCUGGCUUCCAUAAAAACUGCAAGUCGUUCAUACAUACAUACUGGGUAACACACGAUGGAUGGAUGGAUGGAUGGAUGGAUGGAUGGAUGGAUGGACGGAUGGACGGACAGACGGACUGAUGGAAAGUGAAUGGGUGAACUGGAUGCUCCAGUUUGAACAUCACGAACAACAUGUCUGUCACCCCAGCUAUCUGGUGGCAGGAGGAUCACGAGUUAGAAGCCCCCUGUGCCCACAGGAAGACUGAGGACAUGACUCAGCACUACUGACACUGAGCCCCAUUCCCAGAACAUAAGCCAGAAAAGUUUAUUGAAUGGCAAGCAUCUGUAAGCCUGGGUCCAGCCAGCCUCGAGUAAGUUGAGCAGUACAAACAACAAGAGACUUUGCCUCAAUAACGUGGAAGGAGAGAAAUGACUCCUUAACAUUAUCCUUUGCUGUGUAGGAAAGGAACUUGGGUCCUCUGAAAUAUCAGCUAGUACAUAACUGCUGAGCCAUAUCUCCAGCCCUGUCUUGUGCAAAUUUCAGAGAUAUAAACAAUAAAAUAACAUUUACCUUAUUCUUUACAGUAUCAAUAUUCUUUACAGGUGUGACAGAAAUUAUUCUCACAGGAUUCUCCUCAUUUUCACUAACUCCAGUUUCUGAUGCCUCUGAACUCUGUUCCCUACUAGAAAGACAGACAAAUAAACAAACAUAACCAAAACCAAGGCCUUUUAAUUUCAGAAACGAAAUAAUCAAUUUUUAUUGACUGGUUAUAUUACUAUAUAUCCACUUGCCUGAGAGACCUCACUGGUGUUUUAGAAUGCAUUUUGGGAAGUGUGCUAUGUAAUUGUGGCAUUUAGGAUUGUAAUUCCAGUAUUCUAGAGGCUGAGGCAAGAGGCCUGCCACAAGCACAUAGCCUGACACAUAACAAGGCACUGGAUCAAAAAGCACUCUUUAAGCAAGGUAUAGAGAUGUGCACCUUGAAUCCCAGCACCUGAGAAGCAGACGCAGAGGCAGGUGAAUCUGAGGCCAACCUAGCCUAAUAUCAAGUUACGUGGUGAGACCCUGUCUCAGGAAACAUACACUACACUCUUGAGUCUCAUUAAAAAAAACCCUAAUCACAUGAAUAUUAUAAUACUUUUUUACAUAAGUCCAUUCUAUGAUCCAGUGCCUUGAAAAUAAGUUAAAAUGUUAAGCCAAGCAAGCAGUGAGCAAGAAAACAAGAUGUAUUCAGAGAAAAAUAAAUUGCCUUGAACGACUUCCGGCUGAAGGACUCAGCUCUGAAUUGGCGUUAAUAUUGCUUCCAGUCUCUGUGCCGGCGCUUCUAACAUAAGGCUUCCUUCCCGUUGCUGAUAAAGGCUUGUUCACUGUACCUAAUACUCCAGUAGGCUUUGGCUGAGG